CAAAGCUUUUGAUUGAAGGUUACAAUUAUAAUUAUGUGGAAGAAACGUAAUUUAGGGAAAGUAACAUAUUGGGUCAGCAAGAACCAUUUUGCCGGAGAGACCUUUAGGUAAAUCAAAGUCAAAACCACCAAAUCAAUUGCAUAAAGAACCCUAAACCCGGUAAUCAAAUUCAGAUGUGGAAUUCUGAACCCUAUGAACUGGAAACUUAUGAACCCAGAAUGUCAAAGAAGUUUUGGAGGCUGCGAAGGGAAUUGUCUGUGCUAAAUUAAAGCAAUUUAGGAAGAAACCAUAGAGAGAGCUAAAAACGACCCACAAGAAUUAUAUUUCUGCAAAAGUUGUUUUUGCCUGCAAUCUUCUUAAACUGUUUGAAUAGGCUAAAUCUUAUGAGGAAACUUAAGUGUCCUUGCAGGCUAUAUUAAAAUGAAAUGAAAUAUGUAAUUUUAUCUCAGAAAAAUAAAACCCACUAAUUAAAUAACGCACAAGUUCUUAUAAGCACACAAUUUCAUUAAUGAAAUCACUUGUAUUGAACAUAACAUUCUUAUUUACAUGAUGGGUUAAAUAGCAUGCUCUACAACUACUUUAUUUGGACCUAAGCCUUGUCUUCACCUGCUAUUAAUAUAUUGAUUGGUUUGAGGCCUUUAUUCGAGUUGCCUUCCUUGGCCCAUGGAGGUCUCCUUAGCUCUUGAUACGGUAAGUUUUUGUAGUGCCUCAUUUAGUGACAUGGAUUUAGAUGUUGUGAUUCUUAACUGGCCUAAUUGGAAAGACUCUAUUUGCGCUUGUCACUUUCUCUCUGCCAUUAGUACCCUAUAAGAUGAGAGAUACCAGGAGAAACACUUCUAGAUCUGGUAAAUGUAGUCAUUGAGCGAUAGACAAUCUUAUUCAUUGAGACUUCACGAGGCUGUAUACCCAGCAUUCAAACUUCAACAAUGUCAUCAUAAUUAUUAAAAUAAUGUUUCUUAUGCAUAAUUCUUUCAUACACAAGGGAAAAAAUAAAAUAAAAU
Molecule: long non-coding RNA, 1001 nt
Organism: Neltuma alba
Lineage: Eukaryota; Viridiplantae; Streptophyta; Magnoliopsida; Fabales; Fabaceae
Exons: 2
Source: RefSeq, a predicted model, not a curated record